AAUAUCCGCGUGUGUGCACAGAUGCACUUCUCCCCGGGAUGCUUUAGAGUCGCACAAGGCACAGCGGCGAGUGGGCGCUUCCGGGGCGAAUGGGGCUGGUCCCGGCUUCCUCUUGAACCAAGGACCAGGUCCCAGGAGAGGCGCAGAACCCCUUUGUGCCCAGUCCUUGGGAGACCAGUUGUGAGCAGAAUGAUGCACUCUAACUCCACAUGUGCACUCACGAGUAGGCUCACUGUCCAAGACAGUAGGUGCAGCCCAGCUCCCUUCCCCACCCCCACCUCCGAGGUGGGCGCAGCUGCUCCCCGGCGCGCCGACCCCGAGGGAGUCAGUCGCUCCCUGGCGCCAGAGUCCAAGCCCGCCAUGGGAGCCGGUGGCGCCACCAGCCGACUGAAGGUGGCGCUUUAACACUACAACCUUCCAGGGGCACGUGGGCUCACCCCCCUCUCUUUUUUUUUCUUUUCUCCUUCUUUCUAAAGCAAAGAAAUUCAUUUAAAGCCUGAGAGACUGGAUCCUCCCCCUCCCACUCCCAACCCCCCGCGUCUGCAUUGGCUGUUUUGUCCUUUUUCUCCGUCUGUUUCCCCUGAUCUGUCGGCUUGGGAGACACUGCAGAGAGAGCUUGGCUGCACCCGAUUCCCGGGCGCCCCGCCCCAGUAGGAGGUCAGAGUAACGGUCUGUGGGGUUUGGCUGGGAUCGGAUUCUCGCGUUCAAUCUGGCCACUCCCGAUGCGGAUUCUAAACCGGCUUCUGGGGCCAGCUAGCAGCAAGUAGCACACUCCCCGCCCCUGCAUCACCGGUCCGCCUGUGAGCGCGCCCGCCUCCCCCCACUUUCUACCUCCCCUCCCCCAGCUCCUCACUCCUCCCCAGCCCUCCUCUUCCUCUCGCUCCCCUCCCCCUUUCCCCGCAGCCCACAAGAUCUUCAGCAACCUUUUCCUGAAAUCCAGAGAGAAGCUGGCGGGCCUUCUGUCUGGUUGGUUCACUGUCUUAGCUAAACUCCGUAGACCAGAGGGGAAACAAGAUUGUUGGGAAACUCUAUUUUCAGUUAAACCAGCCAUGACUUCUAACUGCUGAACUCUAAGCACUGAAGCCCCACAGAUGAGCAGGUGAUGAGUCCAUUCCAUUUAUUAAAAGGAACAACUUUUUCCUAAUUUUUGUCUGGUUUGAUUUGACCACAUUUUUGAACCUCCCUCUACAUAUAGAUCUGUGAUACUUUCUAUAUAUUUCUUUAAUUUUCCUUUGUCCUACAGCCAAUGUAUAACAAUAGCCUUCUUUUUUCCCCCCCCCCCACCCAAAACGAAAUUCUGCCACAUUUCUGUUAGCUUCUCUUUAAAAUAUGAAUGCUCUUGGUCAAAACUUCCUUAUGUGACUGUAGCAUCUGUAGAAAGGCAGCACUGGAGUUUGGUUGAGAUGGAACUGUGAGCCAUAAAGAUACAACAAUAGGAAAGAGCUGAAUUGAUGUGAAUUUGUCAAUUAUCCAAAGGAACUCCAGGUGACAAUAACUUAAUCAUGGCAAAAAUUCAUAUAGGCAAGAUUGGGACAUCGACAACAUCCCAGCAAAAUGUCACUAUGCCAAAACUGAAAAUGUUGUGUCAGCUGCUUUGUAAAAAGAUGAGCUAUUUUCGUCAUAUAAAUAUAGAAAUAAAGUAUA
This is a long non-coding RNA of Erinaceus europaeus (western European hedgehog), 1644 nucleotides long. RefSeq lists it as uncharacterized. The record is from RefSeq and is a predicted model, not a curated record. Lineage: Eukaryota; Metazoa; Chordata; Mammalia; Eulipotyphla; Erinaceidae. The transcript has 3 exons.